Molecule: ribosomal RNA, 568 nt
Filed under: Smilisca phaeota
Lineage: Eukaryota; Metazoa; Chordata; Amphibia; Anura; Hylidae
Description: partial 16S ribosomal RNA
Rfam family: Bacterial large subunit ribosomal RNA
Source: RNAcentral
CGCCUCUUGACUAAAUAUAAGAGGUCCAGCCUGCCCAGUGACUCUGUUCAACGGCCGCGGUAUCCUAACCGUGCGAAGGUAGCGUAAUCACUUGUUCUUUAAAUGAGGACUAGUAUGAAUGGCACCACGAAGGUUAUACUGUCUCCUUUUUCUAAUCAGUGAAACUAAUCUCCCCGUGAAGAAGCGGGGAUAAAAAUAUAAGACGAGAAGACCCUAUGGAGCUUUAAACUAAGUAACACCUGCUCUCAAACAUCUUUACUUCCGAGUGCCAACAAUAACUUCGGCUUGCUGAUUACUAGUUUUAGGUUGGGGUGACCGCGGAGUAUAAAACAACCUCCGCAUUGAAUGGGAACUUUCCUGAGCCACGAGCUACAACUCUAUGCACUAACAUAUUAACAUUUAUUGACCCAAUAUUUUUGAUCAACGAACUAAGUUACCCUAGGGAUAACAGCGCAAUCCGCUUCAAGAGCUCCUAUCGACAAGCGGGUUUACGACCUCGAUGUUGGAUCAGGGUAUCCCAGUGGUGCAGCCGCUACUAAAGGUUCGUUUGUUCAACGAUUAAAACCCU